UUACAUUUUGCAAGCUUGCAAAACUUUUUUUUGUAAGAUUUUGAGUUUUCAAACCCUUAGUUUCAACCUUUCAGAAAAAUGUUCUACUUUGGGAAACAUCCCAGAUAGCAGCUGACUCUGGGCCGGAUCCGCCUCCAAACCGGCAGAUCCGUGUAACAGUCACGCCCGUUUUACUGCCCCGUUCCAGAUACGGCCCGCAUGUAGUCUGUGUGCACUCAGGAGUGGGCGUGAGCAUCCAUCAGUCGGCGGAAUCAUAAUAGUUCUGGCCCGGACUCGUCGGAAAUAGCGCGCGAACUGUUUCUUUCUUUGGAUCAGUUCGGACUGGAAGCUUUGGGGAAAGAGUUUAUAACGGCUGUACGGAAGAACCAAGCUGCUAGCAGCGCAUCGGACAACGAAAUUAACCAGUUCAACCUGGCCUCUGACCGUGGAGGUGGCUGCAAAGAACGUGCCAUGGCCAGAGAGGCAUUAACCAUGAAAUGAACACAUCGGCCAUCCCCCACUCUUCCACUACUGAUGAUUUGUUGGGUGUCAUGUGAGGGUUAUGGCAUUCCCACUUCUCCACUUGCCUCAUCAGUGUUUCCCGUAAAGCCACCAAACAAUGUGUAUGAACAUUUUACAUUUUUUUCAGG
Molecule: long non-coding RNA, 629 nt
Organism: Micropterus salmoides (largemouth bass)
Lineage: Eukaryota; Metazoa; Chordata; Actinopteri; Centrarchiformes; Centrarchidae
Exons: 3
Source: RefSeq, a predicted model, not a curated record